Oncorhynchus kisutch (coho salmon) is the source of this 799-nucleotide long non-coding RNA. RefSeq lists it as uncharacterized. Lineage: Eukaryota; Metazoa; Chordata; Actinopteri; Salmoniformes; Salmonidae. The record is from RefSeq and is a predicted model, not a curated record. The transcript has 3 exons.
CACAAUAAAGAAAAUUAAUUAUGAAUCAAUUUAAAUUAAGAAAUGAACAUCUAAAUAUUGCUCCCAGUGUUGUUCAAAGCUUAUUUUCUUGAUCUGACUAAUCGCUCCUGCCUCUUUGUGAACGAGAGGAAUCAUUAACUGUGGUUCGUUGGUUAUGUUUGCCUGCUUCCCCUGGAUCUUCCUCCCUGAUUUGCUUUUCAGCAGCACAUUCACCAUUCUCUCAAACGGCUAAUUCCCCUUCUCGCUGAACAGGCCGAGGGCGACUUGAAACUAAAUACCCCAACUAGCAGAUAGCUCUGCUGACAAUCUGAUGGCGAGAUGCCGAACAAAAGGCAUUUUCUUUUGUCUCUCUCUCAACUCCGGUCGCUUCUACAGACAUCCACCAAACAAAAACAUCACUCUCGGAGAAUGAGUGCACAAACUGAUGGACUGAGGUGAAUUAACCUACAGCAGCCAAGGUGAUAUUGGACUGAGGUGAGAUAAACCUCAGCAGCCAAGGUGAUAAUGGACUGAGGUGAGAAAACCAUCAGCAGCCAAGGUGAUAAUGGACUGAGGUGAGAUAAACCUCAGCAGCCAAGGUGAUAAUGGACUGAGGUGAGAAAACCAUCAGCAGCCAAGGUGAUAACGGACUGAGGUGAAAUAACCCUCAGCAGCCAAGGUGAUAACGGACUGAGGUGAAAUAACCCUCAGCAGCCAAGGUGAUAACGGCUGGGGUCAUUUUUGCUUGUUUUUUUCUGUUUUCCAAAUACCAUUUAAAAGUGUUUUAGUUGUGUAGAAAUGCAGUAAAUGAGAUUCAACU